GCCGCAAAGUUAGUUCAGCCCUUUUAGCAAAAUUUAUGUUUUAAAUAAUUAUUAAAUUAUUAAAAAACAGAAACCAAAUCAUUUGCCCUUCCCAGUAUGGGCGACAGAAAAGAACCCCCCCCCGAAGCAAUAGACAAAGUACCGCAAGGGAAAGCUGAAAGAGAAAUGAAACAACCCAUUUAAGCACAGGAAAGCAGAGACUAACCCUCGUACCUUUUGCAUCAUGAUUCAGCAAGUUAACUCAAGCAAAGAGAACUCUAGUUUGCACCCCCGAAACUUGACGAGCUACUCCGAGACAGCCAACUAUGGGCCAACCCAUCUCUGUGGCAAAAGAGUGGGAAGAUCUCUGGGUAGAGGCAAAAAACCUACCGAGCCAAGUUAUAGCUGGUUGCCCAAUAAAUGAAUAAAAGUUCAGCCCCGCCUAGCCCAACUCAGACCGUUUUACAAAAAAGACAAAGAGCUAAUCCCGGGAGUUAGUCAGAGGAGGUACAGCUCCCCUGACCCAGGAUACAACCUUUCUAGGAGGCAAAAGAAUAUUACCGACAAGGCCCUGGGCCUCAGUGGGCCUGAAAGCAGCCAUCUGACCCGAAAGCGUUAAAGCUCCGGCCCUAAGAAUAAGCCUAUUAUUUAAUUUUUAUCUCUGUCCCCCUACACCUUAUUGGGCCCCUCCAUGCGUUCAUGGAAGAGAUUAUGCUGGAACGAGUAACAAGAAGAAUGAACUUCUCCACGCACAAGUGUAAGUCAAAUUGGACUAACCACCGACAAUCAACGAACCCAAUAAAAGAGGGCCCUACACACCCGCCACCUCUGGCCAAGAAAACCAUGUUCCCCAGGAUCGUUACCCCAACACAGGAGUGCUAGAAUAGGGAAAGACUUAAAGAAAAAAAAGGAACUCGGCAAACCCAAACCCCGCCUGUUUACCAAAAACAUCGCCUCUUGCAUCACAAAGUAUAAGAGGUCCCACCUGCCCUGUGACUUAAAGUUUAACGGCCGCGGUAUCCUAACCGUGCGAAGGUAGCGCAAUCAAUUGCCUUUUAAAUGAAGGCCUGUAUGAAUGGUAUAACGAGGGUUUGACUGUCUCUUUUUUCUAGUCAGUUAAACUGAUCUGCCCGUGCAGAAGCGGGCAUUACUAUACAAGACGAGAAGACCCUAUGGAGCUUUAGACGCUAGCCAACUAUCGACAGGCGACUGGCCACUAAACAGACCUUAAAUACCCGUUAGUUGUGGUGAGGCAGUCUUAGGUUGGGGCGACCACGGGAGAAAAUGAAGCUCCCAGGCAGACCGGGGGAUACCCUUGAGCCAAGAGUAGCUACUCUAAGCCACAAAAUUUUUGACUGAAAUGAUCCGGUUGACAAACCGAUUGACGAACCAAGUUACCCUAGGGAUAACAGCGCAAUCCCCUCCCAGAGUCCCUAUCGACGAGGGGGUUUACGACCUCGAUGUUGGAUCAGGACAUCCUAAUGGUGCAGCCGCUAUUAAGGGUUCGUUUGUUCAACGAUUAAAGUCCUACGUGAUCUGAGUUCAGACCGGAGUAAUCCAGGUCGGUUUCUAUCUGUAAAGCCACCACCCCUAGUACGAAAGGACCGGGGCGGAGGGGCUCAUGCUAAGAGCAAGCCCCUUAUCUACCUGCUGAGACCAACUAAAGCAGCCAAAGGUGGGCAACCCAACAGCUCGAGAAAAGAGCUGUUUUAUUUGUUCGC
RNAcentral lists this ribosomal RNA (1700 nucleotides) under Engraulis ringens (Peruvian anchovy). RNAcentral describes it as "16S ribosomal RNA". It matches the Rfam family "Bacterial large subunit ribosomal RNA". The record is from RNAcentral. Lineage: Eukaryota; Metazoa; Chordata; Actinopteri; Clupeiformes; Engraulidae.